GAUGAAGAACGUAGCAAAAUGCGAUAAGAAAUGUGAAUUGCAGAAUUCAGUGAAUCAUCGAAUCUUUGAACGCACAUUGCGCCCGCCAGUAUUCUGGUGGGCAUGCCUGUUCGAGCGUCAUUUCAACCCUCAAGCACAGCUUGGUGUUGGGACUCGCGUUAAUUCGCGUUCCCCAAAUUGAUUGGCGGUCACGUCGAGCUUCCAUAGCGUAGUAGUAAAACCCUCGUUACUGGUAAUCGUCGCGGCCACGCCGUUAAACCCCAACUUCUGAAUGUUGACCUCGGAUCAGGUAGGAAUACCCGCUGAACUUAAGCAUAUCAAUAAGCGGAGGA
This 332-nucleotide unclassified non-coding RNA is filed under the name soil metagenome. RNAcentral's name for it is "partial contains 5.8S ribosomal RNA, internal transcribed spacer 2, and large subunit ribosomal RNA". The stretch from base 1 to 120 matches the Rfam family "5.8S ribosomal RNA", at positions 35 to 154 of the family's 154-position model. The record is from RNAcentral.